GAACAAACGCUGGCGGCGUGUCUUAAGCAUGCAAGUUGAGCGGCAAGGAGGAGAGAUCCUCCCUAGAGCGGCGGACUGGUGAGUAACGCGUGGGUAAUCUAUCUUAGGCAUGGGGAUAGUCACUAGAAAUAGUGGGUAAUACCGAAUAAGUUCCAUAAGGGGAGGACUUAUGGAAGAAAGGUGCUACGGCACUGGCCUUAGGUGAGCUCGCGUCCCAUUAGCUAGUUGGUGAGGUAAAGGCCCACCAAGGCGAUGAUGGGUAGCCGGCCUGAGAGGGUGUACGGCCACACUGGGACUGAGAUACGGCCCAGACUCCUACGGGAGGCAGCAGCUAAGAAUAUUCCGCAAUGGACGGAAGUCUGACGGAGCGACGCCGCGUGGAUGAAGAAGGCCGAAAGGUUGUAAAGUUCUUUUGCUAGGGGAGAAUAAGUGUGGGAGGGAAUGCCUGCACGAUGACAAGGACUAGCGAAUAAGUCCCGGCCAACUACGUGCCAGCAGCCGCGGUAACACGUAGGGGGCGAGCGUUGUUCGGAAUUACUGGGCGUAAAGGGCAUGUAGGCGGCUUGGUAAGCCUGGCGUGAAAGUCUGCAGCUUAACUGUAGGGAUGCGUUGGGAACUGCUUAGCUUGAGUUACGGAGAGGGAGCUGGAAUUCCUGGUGUAGGGGUGAAAUCUGUAGAUAUCAGGAAGAACACCGAUGGCGAAGGCAAGCUUCUGGCCGACAACUGACGCUGAGGUGCGAAAGUGUGGGGAUCAAACAGGAUUAGAUACCCUGGUAGUCCACACAGUAAACGAUGUGCACGAGGUGCUGGGGCGGUAGUUUCAGUGCCGGAGCGAACGCGGUAAGUGCACCGCCUGGGGAGUAUGCUCGCAAGGGUGAAACUCAAAGGAAUUGACGGGGGCCCGCACAAGCGGUGGAGCAUGUGGUUUAAUUCGAUGGUACACGAGGAACCUUACCUGGGUUUGACAUACGGAGGGAAGUGGCAGAGAUGUCACUGCGUAGAGAUACGGCUCCGUACAGGUGCUGCGUGGCUGUCGUCAGCUCGUGCCGUGAGGUGUUGGGUUAAGUCCCGCAACGAGCGCAACCCACGUCCCUAGUUGCCAGCAUUCAGUUGGGCACUCUAUGGAAACUGCCGAUGAUAAGUCGGAGGAAGGUGUGGAUGACGUCAAGUCCUCAUGGCCCUUACGGGUUGGGCUACACACGUGCUACAAUGGUAGUGACAAUGGGUUAAUCCCAAAAAGCUAUCUCAGUUCGGAUUGGGGUCUGCAACUCGACCCCAUGAAGUUGGAAUCGCUAGUAAUCGCGGAACAGCAUGCCGCGGUGAAUACGUUCCCGGGCCU
Molecule: ribosomal RNA, 1339 nt
Filed under: uncultured bacterium
Lineage: Bacteria
Description: bacterial SSU rRNA
Rfam family: Bacterial small subunit ribosomal RNA
Source: RNAcentral